Molecule: ribosomal RNA, 372 nt
Filed under: Triticum aestivum (bread wheat)
Lineage: Eukaryota; Viridiplantae; Streptophyta; Magnoliopsida; Poales; Poaceae
Description: partial small subunit ribosomal RNA
Source: RNAcentral
AUGGUAAAGAAGAUGCAGGCUGAGAUAAAGCUUCUAUCAGUUAGUGUUGAAGAUAGGGACAUGACAAUCAAGGCUCUGAAAAAGAAGAUGAGAAAGUAUAUGCAGGUCAGGAUGCUAAGCAAGGGCUUCGGUUUGUGUGCAGAUAACAUGUUUCAUUCUGCAAAUCGUCUUAACGAUUUGUGGCGAAUGGUCUGUCUCCGGGUCCGGGGUACUACUCCUAUCGAAGUUGAUGCCAACUGGGCUCUCUACAAUGUCAGCAAUGAAGCUGAAAACCUUCAUCAUAUGUCUCUGAUGGCAACUGACGCAGUGUGGUCCAUUGGUAUCUACCCUUACAGUGCAGAGUCUGACUGUCUCGAUGAAGACGACUGGUGA